UUUUGGACAAUGGGGGAAACCCUGAUCCAGCGACGCCGCGUGUGGGAUGAAGGGGUUAUGCCCUGUAAACCACUGUCAGCAGAGAAGAAAAGACCCCUUUGGGGUCCGGGACUGUAUCUGCAGAGGAAGGACCGGCUAACUACGUGCCAGCAGCCGCGGUAAUACGUAGGGUCCAAGCGUUGUCCGGAAUUACUGGGUAUAAAGGGUGCGCAGGCGGUCUUGUGCGUCGAAGGUUAAAUACCAUGGCUCAACUAUGGAAAUGCCCUCGAUACGGCAAGACUUGAGUGUGAGAGGGGAAGAUGGAAUUCCUGGUGUAGCAGUGAAAUGCGUAGAUAUCAGGAGGAACACCGGUGGCGAAGGCGGUCUUCUGGCUCAUUACUGACGCUCAGGCACGAAAGCGUGGGGAGCGAACAGG
Molecule: ribosomal RNA, 415 nt
Filed under: uncultured bacterium
Lineage: Bacteria
Description: bacterial SSU rRNA
Rfam family: Bacterial small subunit ribosomal RNA
Source: RNAcentral